RNAcentral lists this ribosomal RNA (466 nucleotides) under uncultured bacterium. RNAcentral's name for it is "partial 16S ribosomal RNA". It matches the Rfam family "Bacterial small subunit ribosomal RNA", at positions 30 to 507 of the family's 1533-position model. The record is from RNAcentral.
CGAACGCUGGCGGCGUGCUUAACACAUGCAAGUCGAACGGAAAGGCCCUGCUUUUGUGGGGUGCUCGAGUGGCGAACGGGUGAGUAACACGUGAGUAACCUGCCCUUGACUUUGGGAUAACUUCAGGAAGCUGGGGCUAAUACCGGAUAGGAGCUCCUGCUGCAUGGUGGGGGUUGGAAAGUUUCGGCGGUUGGGGAUGGACUCGCGGCUUAUCAGCUUGUUGGUGGGGUAGUGGCUUACCAAGGCUUUGACGGGUAGCCGGCCUGAGAGGGUGACCGGCCACAUUGGGACUGAGAUACGGCCCAGACUCCUACGGGAGGCAGCAGUGGGGAAUAUUGCACAAUGGGCGGAAGCCUGAUGCAGCAACGCCGCGUGCGGGAUGACGGCCUUCGGGUUGUAAACCGCUUUCGCCUGUGACGAAGCGUGAGUGACGGUAAUGGGUAAAGAAGCACCGGCUAACUACGUG